GCUGAAGCAACAAAUGCCCUGCUUCCAGGAAAAGCCUCUAAGCAUCAGGUAACAUCAAAUCGUACCCCAAACCGACACAGGUGGUCAGGUAGAGAAUACCAAGGCGCUUGAGAGAACUCGGGUGAAGGAACUAGGCAAAAUGGUGCCGUAACUUCGGGAGAAGGCACGCUGAUAUGUAGGUGAAGUCCCUCGCGGAUGGAGCUGAAAUCAGUCGAAGAUACCAGCUGGCUGCAACUGUUUAUUAAAAACACAGCACUGUGCAAACACGAAAGUGGACGUAUACGGUGUGACGCCUGCCCGGUGCCGGAAGGUUAAUUGAUGGGGUCAGCGCAAGCGAAGCUCUUGAUCGAAGCCCCGGUAAACGGCGGCCGUAACUAUAACGGUCCUAAGGUAGCGAAAUUCCUUGUCGGGUAAGUUCCGACCUGCACGAAUGGCGUAAUGAUGGCCAGGCUGUCUCCACCCGAGACUCAGUGAAAUUGAACUCGCUGUGAAGAUGCAGUGUACCCGCGGCAAGACGGAAAGACCCCGUGAACCUUUACUAUAGCUUGACACUGAACAUUGAGCCUUGAUGUGUAGGAUAGGUGGGAGGCUUGGAAGUGUGGACGCCAGUCUGCAUGGAGCCGACCUUGAAAUACCACCCUUUAAUGUUUGAUGUUCUAACGUUGACCCGUAAUCCGGGUUGCGGACAGUGUCUGGUGGGUAGUUUGACUGGGGCGGUCUCCUCCUAAAGAGUAACGGAGGAGCACGAAGGUUGGCUAAUCCUGGUCGGACAUCAGGAGGUUAGUGCAAUGGCAUAAGCCAGCUUGACUGCGAGCGUGACGGCGCGAGCAGGUGCGAAAGCAGGUCAUAGUGAUCCGGUGGUUCUGAAUGGAAGGGCCAUCGCUCAACGGAUAAAAGGUACUCCGGGGAUAACAGGCUGAUACCGCCCAAGAGUUCAUAUCGACGGCGGUGUUUGGCACCUCGAUGUCGGCUCAUCACAUCCUGGGGCUGAAGUAGGUCCCAAGGGUAUGGCUGUUCGCCAUUUAAAGUGGUACGCGAGCUGGGUUUAGAACGUCGUGAGACAGUUCGGUCCCUAUCUGCCGUGGGCGCUGGAGAACUGAGGGGGGCUGCUCCUAGUACGAGAGGACCGGAGUGGACGCAUCACUGGUGUUCGGGUUGUCAUGCCAAUGGCACUGCCCGGUAGCUAAAUGCGGAAGAGAUAAGUGCUGAAAGCAUCUAAGCACGAAACUUGCCCCGAGAUGAGUUCUCCCUGACUCCUUGAGAGUCCUGAAGGAACGUUGAAGACGACGACGUUGAUAGGCCGGGUGUGUAAGCGCAGCGAUGCGUUGAGCUAACCGGUACUAAUGAACCGUGAGGCUUAACCUUACAACGCCGAAGCUGUU
Molecule: ribosomal RNA, 1382 nt
Filed under: Escherichia coli
Lineage: Bacteria; Pseudomonadati; Pseudomonadota; Gammaproteobacteria; Enterobacterales; Enterobacteriaceae
Description: partial 23S ribosomal RNA
Rfam family: Bacterial large subunit ribosomal RNA
Source: RNAcentral